This 460-nucleotide ribosomal RNA is filed under the name uncultured bacterium. RNAcentral describes it as "partial 16S ribosomal RNA". It matches the Rfam family "Bacterial small subunit ribosomal RNA", at positions 338 to 795 of the family's 1533-position model. The record is from RNAcentral.
CCUACGGGUGGCUGCAGUGAGGAAUAUUGGUCAAUGGGCGCGAGCCUGAACCAGCCAAGCAGCGUGAAGGAUGACUGCCCUACGGGUUGUAACCUUCUUUUAUAGAGGAAUGAAGUGAGGCAUGCGUGCCUUUUUAUAUGUACCUUACUACUAAGCAUCGGCUAAAUCCGUGCCAGCAGCCCCGGUAAUAUGGAGGAUCAGAGCGUUAUCCGGAUUUAUUGGGUUUAAAGGGAGCGUAGAUGGGUUGUUAAGUCAGUUGUGAAAGUUUGCGGAUCAACCGUAAAAUUGCAAUUGAUACUGGCGGCCGUGAGUACAGGUGAGGUAGGCGGAAUUCGUGGUGUAGCGGUGAAAUGCGUAGAUAUCACGAAGAACUCCGAUUGCGAAGGCAGCCUACUAAACUGCCACUGACAUUGAUGCUCGAAAGUGUGGGUAUCAAACAGGAUUAGAUACCCUGGUAGUC